GAUAUAUGAUGACAAACUGUUUCGGUCCCAAAUGAUGGUUGCUGAUUACUGUUUAUGAGAUCAACUGAUGUC
Small nucleolar RNA from Cheilinus undulatus (humphead wrasse), 72 nucleotides. RefSeq annotates it as small nucleolar RNA SNORD73. The record is from RefSeq and is a predicted model, not a curated record. Lineage: Eukaryota; Metazoa; Chordata; Actinopteri; Labriformes; Labridae. The transcript has a single exon.